GACGAACGCUGGCGGCGUGCUUAACACAUGCAAGUCGAACGGAAAGGCCCUGCUUUUGUGGGGUGCUCGAGUGGCGAACGGGUGAGUAACACGUGAGUAACCUGCCCUUGACUUUGGGAUAACUUCAGGAAACUGGGGCUAAUACCGGAUAGGAGCUCCUGCUGCAUGGUGGGGGUGGGAAAGUUUCGGCGGUUGGGGAUGGACUCGCGGCUUAUCAGCUUGUUGGUGGGGUAGUGGCUUACCAAGGCUUUGACGGGUAGCCGGCCUGAGAGGGUGACCGGCCACAUUGGGACUGAGAUACGGCCCAGACUCCUACGGGAGGCAGCAGUGGGGAAUAUUGCACAAUGGGCGGAAGCCUGAUGCAGCAACGCCGCGUGCGGGAUGACGGCCUUCGGGUUGUAAACCGCUUUCGCCUGUGACGAAGCGUGAGUGACGGUAAUGGGUAAAGAAGCACCGGCUAACUACGUG
Molecule: ribosomal RNA, 468 nt
Filed under: uncultured bacterium
Lineage: Bacteria
Description: partial 16S ribosomal RNA
Rfam family: Bacterial small subunit ribosomal RNA
Source: RNAcentral